RNAcentral lists this long non-coding RNA (1409 nucleotides) under Triticum aestivum (bread wheat). RNAcentral's name for it is "long non-coding RNA (TAES_LNC006227)". Lineage: Eukaryota; Viridiplantae; Streptophyta; Magnoliopsida; Poales; Poaceae. The record is from RNAcentral.
UUCCGCUUUGUGAAAUGGUGUAAACGAAAGGCGACCACGCAGGUUCGAGUUGUAGAUGGAGCCGGCACAUUGCCCGAAGUAGCUGCUGAGGUAACAUGAAAUGGCAUUAGGCUUUUUUCUUUUAUUUUUUUCUACACAAAGAAACCUAGGAUGUGGUAUUUUACACAGUUGCACAAGAACCCGCUAGGUGUGGGUUGGCAUCCUGAACUUUUAUAGUUGCACAAGAAUGAAUUAGGAGUUGGUAUCCUCAACUUUUCAAAUAGUUGCACCACAAUAUCGUACGAGUUGGCACCCUAGACUUUCAUAGAUGCACCGGAACCAUUUGGGAGUUGGCAGUCUCAACUUUUUAAAUAGUCCCACAACAAUAUCACAUGAGUUGGCAUCCACAACAAUUUUAGUUGCACUAGAACCAAUCGGUAGUUGGCAUCCCCAACCUUUUUUAAUAGUUGCACGACAAUGACACAUGAGUUGGCAUCUUCAACUUCUUUAGUUGCACAAGAACCAUUUUGUAGUUGGCAUCCUCAUGUGUUCACAUGAAUAUGAUUUUCUAGGUUUCCAGAUGCACUUGAAUGUAGUUGCACUACUUAUUUGGUAGAUUAUAAUCUUUUAAAAUUCAUGUUCAUCAGUUCAAAAUUCAUGUUCAUCAGUUCAAAAUUCAUUGCAUAGUUGUAGAAACCUGCAACAUGAAUUGCAUCCAGGAGUACUUACAAUUGCGCAAAAUAGAUGAUGAAGUUGUACAAUAACCAGCAUAAAGUGUUUUUGGAAUUAUGCAUACAGAAGUUUAGCUAAAACCAAAAUGAAUAUGAAAUUAUAUGAGUUGGCAUCUUCUACUUCUAUAUGAGUUGAAGAUGCCAACUACUGAAAUCCAAACACCACAAGUAGAUGUAUAUGGGAGUGUUGUCAAUUUGCACACUUGUACUUUAAGUUGCACAAACACAAGCGAGAGUUGGUUCAUUUCUUCUCAGGCUUCUUUUUUGUAUCAUAUGCAGGUUUUACAGGGUAUGGGGGUGGAUGAUCUGCUGUAGAUUUUUUCUCACAAUUCUAAGCUAUAAAAUCAUGUAUACUAGUGUGUGGAAAGAUCAAAGGAAAAAACACAUGCAAACCAGAUUCUUGUCUAGUUGGUGGCUAUGUUUUCAUAGUACCUACAAUAUACUUUUCUUUUCUUUUUUGCUACAUUUACAUUGGUUCUUCUGAAUUAUGUGUGAACUAAGACUCUCUAUGUCCUCUCUCCUAUAUGUUGGCACAUUUUCUGUGUUUUGUUGCACACAUUGUUGUAAAAGUUGGCUAGUCCCAUGAUGAAGUUGCAUGAAAAUCAGUUGCACAUGUACCAGAUCUCCCUAUUUUUUUAUCUCUGUUUAUGCACUCUUCAACUAUGAAGAAGUUAUUUUUGCAAGGAGAAAUUUGGUGAG